Molecule: ribosomal RNA, 406 nt
Filed under: uncultured bacterium
Lineage: Bacteria
Description: partial 16S ribosomal RNA
Rfam family: Bacterial small subunit ribosomal RNA
Source: RNAcentral
AUUGAACGCUGGCGGCAGGCCUAACACAUGCAAGUCGAACGAGUGGCGGAAGGGUGAGUAAUGUCUGGGAAACUGCCGGAUGGAGGGGGAUACCUACUGGAAACGGUAGCUAAUACCGCAUACCAUCGGAUGUGCCCAGAUGGGCUUAGCGAGUAGGUGGGGUAAAGGCUCACCUAGGGGACGAUCCCUAGAUGGUCUGAGAGGAUGACCAGCCACACUGGAACUGAGACACGGUCCAGACUCCUACGGGAGGCAGCAGUGGGGAAUAUUGCACAAUGGGCGCAAGCCUGAUGCAGCCAUGCCGCGUUUAUGAAGAAGGCCUUCGGGUUGUAAAGUACUUGCAGCGGGGAGGCGUUACCCGAAGAAGAAGCACCGGCUAACUCCGUGCCAGCAGCCGCGGUAAUAC